RNA transcript from Salvia splendens (bonfire salvia), 1836 nucleotides. RefSeq lists it as uncharacterized. The record is from RefSeq and is a predicted model, not a curated record. Lineage: Eukaryota; Viridiplantae; Streptophyta; Magnoliopsida; Lamiales; Lamiaceae. The transcript is spliced from 5 exons.
GUUAAAAACUAACUACAUUCAACCAGUUCAAUCAAUUUUCAUCUUUCCCCCUUUCCUCCGGUUUCUUAAAAAAAAAACAAUUUUUCGGCGAUGGAUAUUGCAGAGAAAGAGGAAUAAGGCUUAAAUCAGACCGUGGGUAGGGUUUUAGAGAGAGAGAGAGGGAAUCAAUUACCGAAGAAACAGCGAUGGCCACAAAUACUAAAUCGAGUAAUUUAUCGAAACUGAAGCCCGGAGUUGGAGAUGGUCCUUCUUCUUCAAAACCCAGAAUCGAUACAUCUGGAUCGAUAAAGAAACUUAUUGGGGGAUCAAUCAGGAAUUCUGCAGCUGAUUCCAAAAAUAGAUCCAUCUUCAGCUCUGGCUCUAAAAUGAUGAAGAAAACGUCUACUCAAACGAAAGAUGAAAAGAAAACUGCGAAAAAAACCAGAGAGAAGAAAGUGUAUGCUUUGGCUGGCCAGAAAUUUGAUGUUCCUGAAGAGCGAGAGCCAUUGAGAAUAUUUUAUGAAUCGUUGUCUAAGCAGAUUCCUUCUAGUGAAAUGGCUGAGUUUUGGUUAAUGGAACACGGCAUGCUGUCACCUGAGAGGGCAAGAAAAGCUCACGAGAAGAAGCAGAGGAAGCAAAAGCAGCUACGUUCAGGAACUCCCAUAAAAUCUCCACCGCCCUCCACAUCAAGUAGACCCGAUAGCUCCAAGAAGCCUCAGCUAGUUCCCAAGAAUGGUGACGUAAAAGCAAAGAAGCGGAUAAUGGAAGACAGCGACGAUGAUGAUGAUUUCGUGCUAAGCCACAAGAGGAGAAAAGGCUAAACAAACCAUACUCAAAAAGCCAUCUGUUUGUACUUUGUACAGAAAUUACAGCUUCAGCCUCCAGAGUCUUGAUUUGACAGAGAGAUUGAAUGCUAAAUCUUGAUAGCCAGAUUUGUCUUAUUGGUCUAUAAAUGCUCGUUGCCAAGGCCGAGGAUAGCCUCUGCCACGGAAAUGCUGCAACGUGACCGUGUUAUGGAACAUCAGCAGAGGGAAAAAAAUCAUUAAAAAACUCCCCAAAUGUUAAAGGAAGCUAAGAGAAAGAUGCAGAAGGAAGCAUGAUCCAGGUCAGAAAACCAAAUUUAGCAUUCAUAAAUACACACAUGGCUCUACAUGUGACACAAACACAGAAAAUAAAUAUCUACAUUGCUCAAUAAAUACACACACACAUUGAACUUAGAUAAAAUAAAAAAUUGAUCUUGAAACUUGUCAUGGUGCAAACAUGGUCCUAACAUGAAUCUCCCCAAAGUUUUAUGGGAUUGAACAACUGAUCCAGUUUGCAUUGGGUGGGAUGGAUUUGUUGUUGCCUGAAUUGGAGAGUGGAGUUUGGCAGCUCAUUGAUUGGGGAGAGAGAGAGAGAGAGAGAGAGAGAGAGAGAGAGGGAGAGUUGAUGGAUGGUGAGCAUUGAGUGUAGGGGCCAUCACUGUUUAAGCAUUAGAUGGAAUAGGACAAACCACAGCUUUCUCUUAUGUGGCAACACACACUAAACACACACUGAGGGUGAGAUAUUUGACAUGGUAAGAGUGAAACAUUUGAUCUCAAACCAAUAGCAUUAGGCACAAGCUUUCAUCCAUUGGAAUUGGGCAAAGAGUUAUCCACAAUUGAAUUUCGUAUCCAUUUGCAUACAAUUAAUUUUGCACUGUUUAGUACUUACUAUAUAACAGUGUUUUGUGUUGUAAUUUUGUCAUAUUUGGGGAAAAAAUGUUGUGUGUUUAUUACUAUCCGUGAAUGUGAUUAAUUAAAAUUAUACAGUAGUCAAAAGUGGUGGAAAUUUUGUGACAGAGUGGUCAAACUAAAGGUUUUCUGCUUAUUUAUGACA